Molecule: ribosomal RNA, 2953 nt
Rfam family: Bacterial large subunit ribosomal RNA
Source: Rfam
GGUCAAGUAAGUAAGAGUCUACGGUGGAUGCCUUGGAGCCACCUGGCGAAGAAGGCCGUGGUAAGCUGCGAAAAGCAACGGGGAGGAGCACACAUCCUGUGAUCCGUUGAUUGCCGAAUGGGGUAACCCGGCUGGCGUGAUGGCCAGUCAUCUGUACCUGAAUAAAAUAGGGUAUGGAGGCGAGACCCGGGGAACUGAACCAUCUCAGUACCCGGAGGAAUAGAAAUCAAACGAGAUUCCCGAAGUAGCGGCGAGCGAACCGGGAAGAGCCCAAACCGUUUAAGACGGGGUUGUAGGGCGCGUCAUAGUGGAGUCAAAAACUGUAUUGGUAGUGGAACGCUACUGGGAAGGGCGACCAGAGAAGGUGACAGUCCUGUACACGAAACCGAUACAACUUCCGAUGCGUACCUGAGUAGGACGGCACACGUGAAACGCUGUCUGAAUCUGGGGGGACCACCCUCCAAGGCUAAAUACGUGGUGGCUACCGAUAGAGAAUAGUACCGUGAGGGAAAGGUGAAAAGAACCCCGGUGAGGGGAGUGAAAAAGAACCUGAAACCGUAGACUUACAAGCGGUCGGAGCCUGUUUUCGGACGGGUGACGGCGUGCCUUUUGUAGAAUGAGCCUGCGAGUUACCGUGUGAAGCGAGGUUAAGGGAUAGGAGUCCCGAAGCCGAAGGGAAACCGAGUCUGAAAAGGGCGAAUAGUUUCAUGCGGUAGACCCGAAGCCGGGUGAUCUAUCCAUGGCCAGGUUGAAGCGUCGGUAAAACGACGUGGAGGACCGAACCCUAGUCUGUUAAAAAAGGCAGGGAUGAGCUGUGGAUCGGAGUGAAAGGCUAAUCAAACCCGGAGAUAGCUGGUUUUCGCCGAAAUAGCUUUAGGGCUAGCGUAUAUGGAGUCUUGCGGAGGUAGAGCACUGGUUGGACUAGGGCCCUUCACCGGGUACCAAACCCAGAUAAACUCCGAAUGCCGUAAGAUGCUCAUAUGCAGUCAGACUGCGGGUGACAAGAUUCGUAGUCGAGAGGGAAAGAGCCCAGACCGAUAGCUAAGGUCCCAAAACAUGACUGAGUGGAAAAGGAAGUAUGAUGGCAAAGACAGCCAGGAGGUUGGCUUAGAAGCAGCCAUCCCUCGAACGAGUGCGUAAUAGCUCACUGGUCGAGUCGUCAUGCGCCGACAAUGUAACGGGGCUACGUCAUGUACCGAAGCUGCGGCUUGAUAGAUACGCGAGUAUGUAUCAGGGGUAGGCGAACAUUCUGGAGGCCGAAGAAGGUGAGCUGUGAGGCGAGCUGGAGGUAACAGAAGAGAGAAUGCAGGCAUGAGUAACGAAAAGAGGGGUGAGAGUCCCCUCCGCCGAAAACCGAAGGUUUCCUGGGUAAAGGUCGUCUUCCCAGGGUUAGUCGGCCCCUAAGGCGAGGCCGAAAGGCGUAGUCGAUGGGAAACGGGUUCAUAUUCCCGUACCUCUGUAUGGGUUCGAGUGGGGUGACGCAUGAGGCGAAGCCUGUCCAGGCGACGGUAGACCUGGAGCAAGCACCAAGCUUAUGAGACUGAUAGGCAAAUCCGUCAGUUGAGGUAAGGUGUGACGCCGAGAGAAGCUACGGCGGAUCGAAGCAGGUGGAGUCAAGGUGACAAGAAAGAACCUCUCAGGUAGACCAUACAGAGACCGUACCGCAAACCAACACAGGUCGGUAGGAUGAGUAUUCUCAGGCGCGCGGGAGAACUCGCGUUAAGGAACUCGGCAAAAUACAUACGUAACUUCGGGAUAAGUAUGGCCUUCGAGGGAUAGCAAUAUUUCGAGGAGGUUGCAGAGAAGAGGCUCAGGCGACUGUUUACCAAAAACAUAGGUCUGUGCGAAUCAGUAAUGAGACGUAUACGGACUGACACCUGCCCGGUGCUGGAAGGUUAAGAGGAGCGGUUAGUUUUCGGACGAAGCUGCGAAUUGAAGCCCCAGUAAACGGCGGCCGUAACUAUAACGGUCCUAAGGUAGCGAAAUUCCUUGUCGGGUAAGUUCCGACCCGCACGAAUGGUGUAACGAUCUGAGCGCUGUCUCAACGCGAGACCCGGUGAAAUUGGAGUAUCGGUGAAGAUACCGAUUACCCGUGGUUAGACGGAAAGACCCCGUGAACCUUUACUGCAGCUUGGCACUGAAACUUUGCCCGUCAUGUGUAGGAUAGGAGGGAGACUGUGAAGCCUGUACGCUAGUAUGGGUGGAGUCGUUGGUGAAAUACCUCCCUUGGCUGGUUAGGUUUCUCACACCGAUCCGUGAAACCGGAGGGUGGACAGUGUCAGGUGGGCGGUUUGACUGGGGCGGUCGCCUCCUAAAGAGUAACGGAGGCGCGCGAAGGUUCCCUUGCGCUGGGUGGAAAUCAGCGUGUAUGUGCAAAGGCAAAAGGGAGCUUGACUGCGAGACAUACAAGUCGAGCAGGUGCGAAAGCAGGUCUUAGUGAUCUGGCGGUGGCGAGUGGAAGCGCCGUCACUUAACGGACAAAAGGUACUCCGGGGAUAACAGGCUGAUUUUGCCCAAGAGUUCAUAUCGACGGCAAAGUUUGGCACCUCGAUGUCGGCUCAUCGCAUCCUGGGGCUGGAGCAGGUCCCAAGGGUAUGGCUGUUCGCCAUUUAAAGCGGUACGUGAGCUGGGUUCAGAACGUCGCGAGACAGUUCGGUCCCUAUCUGCCACGGGCGUUGGAUGAUUGAGAGGAUCUGCCUUUAGUACGAGAGGACCGAGGUGGACAAACCUCUAGUGUACCAGUUAUCGUGCCAACGGUAAGUGCUGGGUAGCUACGUUUGGAAGGGAUAACCGCUGAAAGCAUCUAAGUGGGAAGCCCACCUCAAGAUGAGUCAUCCCGUCUCCCUCGAGGAGACUGAAGAGACCAGAGAGACUAUCUGGUUGAUAGGCUGGAGGUCUAAGCAUGGUAACAUGUUGAGCCGACCAGUACUAAUUUCUCGUGAGGCUUGACCAU